This 603-nucleotide long non-coding RNA is filed under the name Nicotiana benthamiana. RNAcentral's name for it is "long non-coding RNA (NBEN_LNC037706)". Lineage: Eukaryota; Viridiplantae; Streptophyta; Magnoliopsida; Solanales; Solanaceae. The record is from RNAcentral.
AUGGCUCAUAGCCGUAUCACACCAUCAAAUAACUUAUAAAAUAAUCUUAGUCCCUAAAUGAGAGUUUAAGCUUUAUAAUGUGAUUAGUAGUCGGAGCAGUGUGAAGACGGACUCGUAAUGAAUUUUUGUCGAUUCCGUUAGCUGAAUUAGGUGAUUUCAGACUUAGGGGCAUGUUUGGAUUGUGUGUUGGAGGUCCGUAGCUUAUUUAGGCUUGGAACAGAAAGUUUAAAUUUUGAAGAUUUCGAAUCGAUAGUGAGAUUUUGAUAUCGGGGUUAAAAUCUGAUUCUGAAAGUUAGAGUAACUCUAUAGUGGUGAAUGUGACUCGUGUGUAAAAUUUGGGGUCAGUUUGAACUUGGUUUGGUUGGUUUAAGCAUCGGGUGUAGAAUUCUUGAAAUGUCAAGCUCUUUAGGUUUGGAUUGGAGGGUGAUUUAUGGUUUUAGUAUUGUUUGAUGUAAUUUGAGGGUUGGACUAAGUUCGUAUGAUAUUUUAGGGUUAUUUGGAAUGUUAGGUUGAUGUCACUUGGGCCUUGGGUGAGUAUCGGAUGCUUAACGAAUUGGAAUUUGGACUUAGGCAAAAUCUGAGAUUGCUGAACCUGUCAUAAUU